UGAAAAGAAUACUCAUCUAUCCACAAAUAUUCAUGUUAUCCUAAUUUCUAAAUCACAAACCCAAAUCUACAAUAUUUCUCAAAAAAUGAAAACUUUUCAAAAAUAGCAGUUUUUAAGAAAAUUAUUUAAAAAUACAACCUAUUCAUAAAUACUCUGAAAAAAUACUCAAAUAUCCACGAAUAUUCUUGUUAUCCUAAUUUCUAAUCACAAACACAAAUCUACAAUAUUUCUCAAAAAAGUGAAAACUUUCCAAAAAUGACAAUUUUUACAAAAAUGAUUAAAAAUACAACAUAUUGGUGAAAAAUUCUGAAAGAAUACUCAUCUAUCCAUAAAAUUCUUGUUAUCCUAAUUUCUAAAUCACAAACCCAAAUCUACAAUAUUUCUCAAACCAUAUCUCCAUUGCUAUUUUGUUGUACAACCUAAUGUUAUUUUGUAUAGAAAGCUAUAAGCCUAAAUAUAACGUUGAGAAGUAAAGGAAAGCAUUAUCUACUCC
This 493-nucleotide long non-coding RNA is filed under the name Brassica napus (rape). Its description in RNAcentral is "long non-coding RNA (BNAP_LNC013143)". Lineage: Eukaryota; Viridiplantae; Streptophyta; Magnoliopsida; Brassicales; Brassicaceae. The record is from RNAcentral.